AAAAGACCAAUUAUUGCCUGAUGUCUUUAAACAGCAGUUUGUCUUGUUGCCGGCCAAUUUCUGUGAACUGCAGUACUAAAAUGCAUUGGCUAUUACCACCAACAACUACAGGUGUUAUCUUAAAUACUGUAAUACUGAAAAUGUAAUGCAGUAUAUCGCACCUAGUAAACUGAUUGUCUUUCCAAUGUCAACAAUAGAUGUACGAGCUUCAAAAAGCCAAAUGUAUGGCAGAGCUUUUGUAUAGGAUUGCGUUAGAUUGCACGGUUUUCGUGCUUAGUGAGUGUUUAUGUCUGACUUUUUUUCAUAGCCUUUAUCUUUUUCCUGCUCACAUACCUACAGAUAAAAGUCCAUUCUGUGCCCUGUACUCCUUUGGGCCCAAAGGACAAAGCACACAACAGUAAAACAAAAACAUCAAGAGAAACACAUCCAUACACCAAAUCACAAAAAAUGCAGAAAUACACAGUCAACAGGGAAAAUGCUACCUAAAAAGUUGCUACAUCAGAAGUGCUCUGCUCUGCUUGAUUUGAAUAAACAGCAACACUGCUGAAGAGAUCAAAUCAAGAGCUAUUGUGUUGCUAUUAUGCAAGCGACUUGUGCCACCAUACCAAAUAUAUCCCAAGAUCUUCAUAAAAUAUGUACUUAAGCGCUGAUGCAGUGGCACGAACCAACUUCAUAGAUCCAAACACGGACGUACGCACAAAACCAACUUCAGAAAAUUUGAUUAUGUGAGGAUAAUAUUCACAGUUUAAAAAUAUUUAAGCAAAAAAAGAAAAAAAGCAAAUUAUUCCAGCACGCCAAUACAGAAACACGAGUCUAACCGGCACUGAAAGUUCACGACUCGCUCUGCGUAUUUUAGUCACUCUUUUCUCUGUUAUUUGUAUCAUGUAAAACAAACAUUGUUUAAUUAAAGAUUCACAGACCUCAGCAGUCGCUUCUCAUGUGCUCACUGAUGUGCUAUCCUCCAUUGUUUUCACCACUGUUGCAGUCUUCAAAAUGCUUUAAAUAGUGCGGCUGUUCAAACAUUUUCUUAUUUGCCGAGGCGAUUUUAAUCUCUAACGCCUCAUCUCAGUGUGUCGAGCUGAAAUAACUCUCAUCUGCAACUAAGCAGGCGAGAUAGGCAUUUGUAAUUGAUGUUCUGUCAUCACAAUAACAAGGCGCAUAAAUGCCCAAGAGUAUUCAAGCUAUGUGAGGUACUCAGAAGUCAAACAGGGAGACAAAAAUGGAACACUCGUGUUGUGGUAGUUUGCGUUGAAGCCCUCUGUAUGUUUCUUUCUUUACUUGCUUUUUUCCAAUUAAAAUUUCAUUGUACGAAUAA
Molecule: long non-coding RNA, 1315 nt
Organism: Astatotilapia calliptera (eastern happy)
Lineage: Eukaryota; Metazoa; Chordata; Actinopteri; Cichliformes; Cichlidae
Source: Ensembl